RNAcentral lists this ribosomal RNA (395 nucleotides) under Purpureofilum sp. Its description in RNAcentral is "partial small subunit ribosomal RNA". It matches the Rfam family "Eukaryotic small subunit ribosomal RNA", at positions 587 to 975 of the family's 1831-position model. Lineage: Eukaryota; Rhodophyta; Stylonematophyceae; Stylonematales; Stylonemataceae. The record is from RNAcentral.
AGCUCCAAUAGCGUAUACUAAAGUUGUUGCAGUUAAAAAGCUCGUAGUCGAAUGAUGAUUCUUUUGUUGGCGCGGACGCUUAGGUGUAACUUAAGACUGUCUGUGCCCAAGAAUCACCUUGGUGUGGUACGAAUUUAGUAGAAAUAUUCUACUAUUAUUCGCCACACACAUUACUGUGAACAAAAUAGAGUGUUCAUGGCAGGCCAUUAAGGCUUGAAUACCUCAGCAUGGAAUAAUAGAAUAGGACUUCCGGUUCUAUUUUGUUGGUUUUUGGAGCCGAAGUAAUGAUUAAUAGGGAUAGUUGGGGGCACUCGUACUCCGUUGUCAGAGGUGAAAUUCUAGGAUUGACGGAAGACGAACAACUGCGAAAGCAUCUGCCAAGGAUGUUUUCAUUG